CCCUUAGAUGUCCUGGGCCGCACGCGCGCUACACUGACAUGUUCAACAAGCCUCCUAGUUCGACAGGAUUUGGGAAAUCUUUGAACGCAUGUCGUGAUAGGGAUAGAUCAUUGCAAUUAUUGAUCUUGAACGAGGAAUUCCUAGUAAACGCGAGUCAUCAGCUCGCAUUGAUUACGUCCCUGCCCUUUGUACACACCGCCCGUCUCACCUACCGAUUGAAUGUUUCGGUGAAGAUUCCGGAUAGGACUUUUUUGAUUUAUUUCAAUUUUGUCUUAAAAGCUAUCUAAACCUCAACAUUUAGAGGAAGGUGAAGUCGUAACA
Molecule: ribosomal RNA, 321 nt
Filed under: uncultured eukaryote
Lineage: Eukaryota
Description: partial 18S ribosomal RNA
Rfam family: Eukaryotic small subunit ribosomal RNA
Source: RNAcentral